UAAAAUAAUAAGAAACAUAAGCUUAACCUCA
RNAcentral lists this non-coding RNA (31 nucleotides) under Mus musculus (house mouse). The record is from RNAcentral. Lineage: Eukaryota; Metazoa; Chordata; Mammalia; Rodentia; Muridae.